CGUGUAGGCGGAUGGGGACGUCGGUUGUUGAAAGCCCCCGGCUCAACCGGGGAAUGGGCACCGAAACGCCCCGUCUCGAGGGACGUAGGGGGACCUGGAACUUCCGGUGGAGCGGUGAAAUGCGUUGAGAUCGGAAGGAACGCCCGUGGCGAAAGCGAGGUCCUGGACGUCUACUGACGCUGAGACGCGAAAGCUAGGGUAGCGAAC
This 207-nucleotide ribosomal RNA is filed under the name uncultured bacterium. Its description in RNAcentral is "partial 16S ribosomal RNA". It matches the Rfam family "Bacterial small subunit ribosomal RNA", at positions 568 to 773 of the family's 1533-position model. The record is from RNAcentral.